RNAcentral lists this ribosomal RNA (87 nucleotides) under Hematodinium sp. FE44,3a. RNAcentral describes it as "partial 18S ribosomal RNA". It matches the Rfam family "Eukaryotic small subunit ribosomal RNA", at positions 1746 to 1831 of the family's 1831-position model. The record is from RNAcentral. Lineage: Eukaryota; Dinophyceae; Syndiniales; Syndiniaceae.
AGCUGGAAGUUUAGUGAACCUUAUCACUUAGAGGAAGGAGAAGUCGUAACAAGGUUUCCGUAGGUGAACCUGCGGAAGGAUCAUUCG